UGGACACUGGGGUGGGAAAACCUGAAACUUGCCUGACUCAAGUGCUCUCUCGCCUAUGUUUUGACAUCUACAUCCUGUUCAACCUGCUCAUUUUGGACCUUUAUCACUUUAUAGACCCCAUAAAACAAACAGGCCAAGCAUACGCAUGGAACAGCCUUCUUCAAAAUGCAGCUGGACUGUGAUCCAUGGCAAAACACUGGAAUAACUCUGCCAGGUCCGAAAACCUUUGAGAUUCAUCCCAUUGAACUUGAUACAUACAGAACAACACCUUGAAAACGAACCAUCUGCUAGUUCAGUAUUUUCUUCUUACAAUCACUCCCUCCUGGGGUAUGUAAUUAAUUUCCUGAGCUUUAAAAGAAAAAGUUAGGGUUACUCACACAGUUUUGAAGAUGCAAUGCCAGCUAUUUAGAACAGAAACAUCCAAGGCCGUGCUAGAACUCAGUUAUAACUACAUAUACAUUAAGGCAGGAACCGGCAGGCCUCUGACUACAGAAACUAUAGGGCUCGUGCUUCUCAGCUGCCGGGUUAUAAUCUAUGAAACUGAGCCCUGAUCCAGCCAAUCAGUUCGCUCCUUAUAACAAGUCUAACUGGCUCUGGAAAGCUGAAAAGGCUGCACUGGAGCGGCAUAGAUGAUAUAUUCCACAUAAUAAUCUGCUUAUCUAGAAUCACUCUGCCUAGAAAGGCCAGAGAAAAUCGCAGCUUCAUUAUCUGAGGAAAGAAGGACAGGUGAUCUGGCAAAAACAUUUCUGAACCUGGAGCAAGAACGAUCCUCUGGCUUGGCAGUCCCAACAGUGCAGUGUGAAAGGAACUGAGCCUCCCCAGAAAUCCAAGGGCAGCCACAGCAGCAAAACCGGAGCUUUUGCAGGAUCACUUGUUAUUAAGUAUGAGUAGAGAGAAAGAAACUCGCAACUAACAUGAUCAUCUGCUGAGCAAAAUAGAUCAUUUUCCAGGACAGAUUUAAAGCUACCUUUCCGGAUGGGCAGCCUCACAGCCAGUCACAGAAACACAGUAAACGGGGCUGACAAGGAGUGAAGAAAAGGGCUACAGGAAAAAAAUCGCCUGCUUUCCACAUCUGAGAGAAAUCACUAUGCUCAGAGGUUUCCAACCAUGGAAAGAACCAAGUUCAUGAACCAAGGUAUCACUGAGCUCAUAAGAAUUCUGCAGUUUCAUUCUCUCUAUGAAAAAGAUCAAGUUACAAAGAAGCCUCCUCCACACUGAAGCAGAGAGCCAAAGAAAAAUGAUCUAACCACAGUCUGAAUCUGCUGGACAGUUAAUCACCUUCAAUAAGCUCCAAGCCUGGGCUGUAAUUGUUUCCACCAUCUUUUCCAACAGUUUGCAUCUUCUUUUUCAAUUUUAUUUGACAUUAAAUUCGAUGAAGUCACCCUUAUUUGAAAAUUAAAAUUCAUCAUCAUAAGAAGCUGAGGGAGGAUGCUUUU
Heterocephalus glaber (naked mole-rat) is the source of this 1436-nucleotide non-coding RNA. Lineage: Eukaryota; Metazoa; Chordata; Mammalia; Rodentia; Bathyergidae. The record is from RefSeq and is a predicted model, not a curated record.